UCGGGAAUUUUGGGCAAUGGGCGAAAGCCUGACCCAGCAACGCCGCGUGAAGGAUGAAGUAUUUCGGUAUGUAAACUUCGAAAGAAUAGGAAGAAUAAAUGACGGUACUAUUUAUAAGGUCCGGCUAACUACGUGCCAGCAGCCGCGGUAAUACGUAGGGACCAAGCGUUGUUCGGAUUUACUGGGCGUAAAGGGCGCGUAGGCGGCAAUUCAAGUCAUCUGUGAAAUCUCCGGGCUUAACUCGGAACGGUCAGAUGAUACUGCUUUGCUAGAGUGCAGAAGGGGCAAUCGGAAUUCUUGGUGUAGCGGUGAAAUGCGUAGAUAUCAAGAGGAACACCUGAGGUGAAGACGGGUUGCUGGGCUGACACUGACGCUGAGGCGCGAAAGCCAGGGGAGCAAACGGGAUUAGAUACCCAAGUAGUCCCUGAGCGGGCUGGCAAG
RNAcentral lists this ribosomal RNA (441 nucleotides) under uncultured bacterium. RNAcentral describes it as "bacterial SSU rRNA". It matches the Rfam family "Bacterial small subunit ribosomal RNA", at positions 355 to 819 of the family's 1533-position model. The record is from RNAcentral.